GAUGAACGCUGGCGGCGUGCCUAAUACAUGCAAGUCGAGCGAACAGACGAGGAGCUUGCUCCUUCGACGUUAGCGGCGGACGGGUGAGUAACACGUAGGUAACCUACCUAUAAGACUGGGAUAACUUCGGGAAACCGGAGCUAAUACCGGAUAAUAUUUCGAACCGCAUGGUUCGAUAGUGAAAGAUGGCUUUGCUAUCACUUAUAGAUGGACCUGCGCCGUAUUAGCUAGUUGGUAAGGUAACGGCUUACCAAGGCAACGAUACGUAGCCGACCUGAGAGGGUGAUCGGCCACACUGGAACUGAGACACGGUCCAGACUCCUACGGGAGGCAGCAGUAGGGAAUCUGCCGCAAUGGGCGAAAGCCUGACGGAGCAACGCCGUGUGAGUGAUGAAGGUCUUCGGAUCGUAAAACUCUGUUAUUAGGGAAGAACAAACGUGUAAGUAACUGUGCACGUCUUGACGGUACCUAAUCAGAAAGCCACGGCUAACUACGUG
This 497-nucleotide ribosomal RNA is filed under the name uncultured bacterium. RNAcentral's name for it is "partial 16S ribosomal RNA". It matches the Rfam family "Bacterial small subunit ribosomal RNA", at positions 28 to 507 of the family's 1533-position model. The record is from RNAcentral.